AUCCCUCCAUUAGAACUGUAGCUCCUUUGUCUCCAGGCUCUGUGAAAUGCAAACGGCCUCAAAAAGGGUGUUCUGAUGUUACAUCAACACUCUGAGCGGCUUAGGGCUGACACUCUUGGGAGGAGGGUUGCUGGAGCCCUUUCUCAGGGUUGAAGGGUUGAGUUUCUGAAAAAAACACUCAGAAAAAGGCAGCCAUGUCUCCAUGCCCGCAUGUGUGCCUGUACUCAGGAGCUCUGGGGACACGCCCUUUGCCUUCUCUCUGGCUGUGUCCUCUCCUCAUCCCUUCUGUCCCUCCUCACUCUGUGCCUCUGGCCCAGGUGGGAUUGGAUAAUCUGUCUAGGCUGAGUUUCUCUUUCCUUACCUGAAACUCAUCAGGAGACUGUUUCCAGAAAGGAGGUGGUGGGCACGGCUUUCACAGCCCAGGAAUUCACUGCCCACCCAAGCACUCCCCUCGGGAACGAUUCCUCAGCCACAGUCACGGAGGUUUACUCUCUCAGGAACAGUCUCUGAGAUGACUCUCUGUCUCCCGCAGGUCACAGAGCAGGCUCCUGUGGUGCGGUGGCUUUAUCAAAGCAGGAGUCUAUUAUCCACUUGGGGGGUGGAAACAACAGACCUGUCCCUUCCCAGACACAGAGCUCGAUGGGCUAUGCAGCACUGGGCAAGGUCUCUCCCCAGCCGAGCUGGUUCUGUUCUGUAUACCGUGAGGGAUUUGGCCCCAGGAUCUCCAUGGUGCUUCCAGCACUGCGUUCCUUGGGUUUGACUCCAUGGUUUCCCUCUGUCCCUCUCCAUUCUCUUUGUUGAUUCUCUUCCUCCUCAUUUUCUUCUUCAGUCUCAACCCCCUUCUCGAGCCCUCCUUCCCUAAUGAAGGCUGACUCAGUCCUGGGAAUGUGAUGCUCUGGGUUGGAGCACUGAGAGACCCUGGCCAGGUGUCAGAAGGCAGUGAGAAAAAUACCUUUGGAGAAAAGAAUGUGGCCAGGCGAGGUGGCUCUCGCCUGUAAUCCCAGCACUUUGAGAGGCCGAGUGGGCAGAUCACAAGGUCAGGAGUUCGAGACCAGCGGAGGAGUUUGGAUGGGAGUCCGGAGGGGUCUGUGCUAUUGAGAAAGGAUUCGAGGUGAUGCAGUGAGGGGCACAUACCCGGACCUACAAAUGAGCUCCAUGAGGUGGACUCCUUCUCCAAUGCCAGCAUCAAGGUCAGCUACCAACUUGAGACCCCUGAGAGACAGAGGGACCAUCCCCAGCCCAUCCUCGACCACUACGCUGAAGCCUUUGCCAUCUUCCCGGUGACUCUACCCUCAGCCAGUACCAACCCUCUUGAGAGCCGAUCCCACAGAAAGCAUCUGCUCCCCUGACUUCCAAGAAUGUUAGAACUGGGAGGGAGUGUCUUCAGACAGCAUUUGGGUGACUCACUGUACAAAUGUGAAACUGGGUCACUGUGAUCGUGUUAAUGUGUGUAGGGCAUCACUCAUGGGUAACACAGGUCUCCAUCUGUCUCUGGGGCCAUGACUUUAUGUUCACAAAAGUGCUUGCUGCGUAUUUCAUGACGCACAGGCAUAUGUUGCAUCCUGGGGCCUCACUUGGCAGGGAGCUCUGAUGAUGCUGUGGUGGGGGUCCCUUGUGAGAGCUAGAUGGGAGCUAGCCUGUCUUGUGCUGCAGAGGAUGCCCUUUGGUGCCCUGCCUGUUCACUCCCUGCCAGGGCCUUCAGGCUGAAUGGCCCCACCAAACCUGUGCCCCUGCCUCUCCUGCUGGUGCCCAUCAGUGCAGCUCAGACAGGCGGGUAGUGUCAUAAAAAACUUUUGUCGGCCAGGAGCCCUGGCUGAUGCCUGUAAUCCCAGCACUUUGGGAGGCUGAGGUGGGCGGAUCACCUGAGGCCAGUAGUUCAAGACCAGCCUGGCCAACAUGGCGAAACCCCAACUCUACUAAAAAUACAAAGAUUAGCCAGGUGUGGUGGCAGGAGCCUAUAGUCCCAGGUACUCAGGAGGCUGAGGCAGGAGAAUUGCUUGAACCUGGGAGGCGGAGGUUACAGUGAACCAAGAUUGUACCACUGCACUCCAGCCUGGGCGACAGAGCAAGCUCAAUCUCUCAAAAACAAACAAACAAACAAACUUCAAUAUAUAUUUCCUUAUAAAACAGAGGCAUUGUCUUUAAUCAAAAUCAGGAAAUUCACAUUGAUAAAAUACCAUUAUUUAAUCUACAAACUUUAUUCAAAUUUUGCCUGUUGUCCUAUUAAUGCCCUUUAUAGCAAAAGAAAAAUUCUGGUCCAGGAUCAUCAAUCGUGUUCUGCUGUCAUUUAUCUCCUUUAAUCCGGAAAAGUUUCUCAUCUUUCCUUGUCUUUUGAUGACAUUCAUGUUUUUGAAGGGUGUAGGCCAGUCCUUUUAUAGAAUGUUCCUCAAUUUGUCUGAUGUUUCGUCAUAGAGUCAGGUUACCCAUUUUGUUUUGUUUUGUUUUUGAGACAGAGUUUCACUUUUGCUGCCCAGGCUGGAGUGCAAUGGUGCAAUGUCAGCUCAUUACAACCUCCAGCUCCCGGGUUCAAGCGAUUCUCCUGCCUCAGCCUCCAGAGUAGCUGGAAUGACAGGUGUGUGUCACCAUACCCGGCUAAUUUUUUGUAUUUUUAGUAGAGACAGGGUUUCACCAUGUUGGCCAGGCUGGUCUUGAACUCCUGACCUCAGGCGAUCCACCUGCCUUGGCUGGGAUGACAGGCAUGAGCCUGGCCAGGUUCUGCAUUUUUGGCAGGAAUAUCACAGAAGUAAAGUUGUGUCCUUCUCAGUACACCAUCUCAGGCGGCACCUCAUGGAUUUGUCCCAUUCCUAGUGUGAUUUGCCUGUGUAAUUAAUCAUCUCAAGGUGAGAUGCCUUAAGAUGAUAUGCUGCUUAACAUCUAUUUAUGUCUUUCCUUAACCAGUGAUGACUAUUAUGCUACGGCAGAGAGUUUAAAAAAUUUAUUCAGUCUGUGAAAUGGGUGAGGAGAACUUACGUGGUGUUAGGCACAUCGCUGUUACCAGAGAAUGUGUCCCCAGCUGGGCGUCUAGCUGGCUUAACCCCAUUGUCUUUCACUGGGGCUGGGUGGAAAAGAUCAGGCUACUUGUCUACAUUAAAAAUACAACAAAAAAGCCCUGCAUGAAACUGUUGGCCCACUUAGAGCUCCAGGCUUUGACUUCUGCAAAUGCCGCCUCCCUUCCCCAGGAAGUAGAAAGUCUCCUUUCAAGCUCUGGGCUCUUAUUGCCACCCUAGGCCGUGGUAACAGACCUGCAGAAAGCUCCGGAGGUGGCCGCUGGGAGAGAAACGCAGAGGCCCUCCAGCAGAGGAGCUGCCUUUCUUCAUAAUCAAAAAACAGACCCAGCUACUUUAGAAAACUGGAAUUUUUUAAAACAUGAAAAGGGGCUUUUCAACCUCCAUGGGGCCUUUUUAAAUGUGGCUUUCGGAAUGAGUUGGUUAUGUGGAGGCAAGAUGGCAAGGGAAAUGGCUUACAGAGACAGCUAGCCAAGUUGGGGGCAGUGGCUCACGCCUGUAACUCCAGCACUUUGGGAGGCCAAGGUGGGUGGAUCACUUGAGGUCAGGAGUUUGAGACCAACUUGGCCAACAUGGUGAAACCCAGUUUCCACUAAAAAGACAAAAAGAAUUGGCUGGGUGUGGUGGUGGGUGCCUGUUAUUUCAGCUAGUCAGGAGACUGUGUCAGGAGAAUCGCUUGAACCCAGGAGGCAGAGGUCGUGGUGAGCCGAGAUCGUGCCACUGCACUCCAGCCUGGCAACAGAGCAAGACUCCGUCUCAAACACACACACACACACACACACACACACCCCAGAGAUGACUAGCCACACGGAAGAGAAACUCUGAGGCCUGGACCUUGACAAUAUUCAGUUAGGUAGCCCCCAUUCCUGCCUACACCCGAAAAGACUAAGGAAGCUUCUCUUCACAUAGCUGUCUGCUCCCUAAAUGCUGGGAGUUGUGAGCUGUGUGUGCUGCUUAAUUCCCAUGAUGUGAAUGUAAUGGGCACACCUCACAUUCCAUGCAGGUCACCCCACUUUUUACCGUGGCCAGAGGCCUGGGUCACAGUGUGCCCAUGUUAUAGGACAGAUCCAGGAAUGUCAUCGUCCCUGUUCUUCGGGCCGUGUAUGCACAACCCCAGCCUGCAUCCCUCACCUCCGGUCUCAGGCUGCCCUAUGAGAAGGACUGCAAGAAUAAGCUGUUUUGUAUCGCAGAAUUACAGUUGGCCACCACCGUCUCUCAACGUUCUAUUGGGCCACACUGAAUUCCAGAAUGAUGGUGUUGCCAAGCUCAGGAGUUUGGGUUCGGACAUCGGCGGCCCUAAAAUGCCCUCCCAGCCUGGACACAGUGGCUCACGCCUGUAAUCCCAGCACUUUAGGAGGCUGAGCCAGGCGGAUCACGAGGUCAGGAGUUCAAGACCAGCCUGAUCAACAUGGUGAAACCCUGUCUCUGUUUAAAAAAAAAAAAAAUUGAAGCCGGGUGCGGUGGCUCAUGGCUAUAAUCCCAGCACUUUGGGAGGCCGAGGUGGGUGGAUCACGAGGUCAAGAGAUCGAUACCAUCCUGGUCAACAAGGUGCAACA
This is a non-coding RNA of Callithrix jacchus (white-tufted-ear marmoset), 4561 nucleotides long. Lineage: Eukaryota; Metazoa; Chordata; Mammalia; Primates; Cebidae. The record is from RefSeq and is a predicted model, not a curated record.